UGGGGAAUAUUGGACAAUGGGCGAAAGCCUGAUCCAGCCAUGCCGCGUGUGUGAAGAAGGUCUUCGGAUUGUAAAGCACUUUAAGUUGGGAGGAAGGGCAUUAACCUAAUACGUUAGUGUUUUGACGUUACCGACAGAAUAAGCACCGGCUAACUCUGUGCCAGCAGCCGCGGUAAUACAGAGGGUGCAAGCGUUAAUCGGAAUUACUGGGCGUAAAGCGCGCGUAGGUGGUUUGUUAAGUUGGAUGUGAAAUCCCCGGGCUCAACCUGGGAACUGCAUUCAAAACUGACUGACUAGAGUAUGGUAGAGGGUGGUGGAAUUUCCUGUGUAGCGGUGAAAUGCGUAGAUAUAGGAAGGAACACUAGUGGCGAAGGCGACCACCUGGACUAAUACUGACACUGAGGUGCGAAAGCGUGGGGAGCAAACA
Molecule: ribosomal RNA, 427 nt
Filed under: uncultured bacterium
Lineage: Bacteria
Description: partial 16S ribosomal RNA
Rfam family: Bacterial small subunit ribosomal RNA
Source: RNAcentral